RNAcentral lists this ribosomal RNA (207 nucleotides) under uncultured bacterium. RNAcentral describes it as "partial 16S ribosomal RNA". It matches the Rfam family "Bacterial small subunit ribosomal RNA", at positions 568 to 774 of the family's 1533-position model. The record is from RNAcentral.
UGUGUAGGCGGUUCUUUAAGUUUGCUGUGAAAUCUCCCGGCUUAACCGGGAGGGUGCGGUGAAUACUGAGGGACUAGAGUACGGGAGAGGAAAGUGAAAUUCCUGGUGUAGCGGUGAAAUGCGUAGAUAUCAGGAGGAACACCGGUGGUGUAGACGGCUUUCUGGACCGACACUGACGCUGAGACACGAAAGCGUGGGUAGCAAACA